AAGCUUAGUGGCGGACGGGUGAGUAACGCGUGAGCAACCUGCCCUCGAGUGGGGAAUAACAUCGAGAAAUCGGUGCUAAUACCGCAUAAAGUCGAGAGACCGCAUGAUCUUUCGACCAAAGGAUUUAUUCGCUUGAGGAUGGGCUCGCGUCCGAUUAGCUAGUUGGUGAGGUAACGGCCCACCAAGGCAACGAUCGGUAGCCGAACUGAGAGGUUGAUCGGCCACAUUGGGACUGAGACACGGCCCAGACUCCUACGGGAGGCAGCAGUGGGGAAUAUUGGGCAAUGGGCGAAAGCCCUGACCCAGCAACGCCGCGUGAAGGAUGAAGGUCUUCGGAUUGUAAACUUCUUUGAUUGGGGAAGAAUAAAAUGACCUACCCAAAGAACAAGCCACGGCUAACUACGUGCCAGCCGCCGC
RNAcentral lists this ribosomal RNA (417 nucleotides) under uncultured bacterium. RNAcentral describes it as "bacterial SSU rRNA". It matches the Rfam family "Bacterial small subunit ribosomal RNA", at positions 88 to 518 of the family's 1533-position model. The record is from RNAcentral.